UCCUAGCCGUAAACGAUGGUUACUGGGUGUGGGUGGUUUUCCAUCCGUGCCGAAGCUAACGUGAUAAGUAACCCGCCUGGGGAGUACGGUCGCAAGACUGAAACUCAAAGGAAUUGACGGGGGCCCGCACAAGCGGUGGAGCACGUGGUUUAAUUCGAUGCUAACCGAAGAACCUUACCUGGGCUUGACAUGCUGGUAGUAGGAGCCCGAAAGGGUGACGACCCCUUGGGAAA
This 233-nucleotide ribosomal RNA is filed under the name uncultured bacterium. RNAcentral's name for it is "partial 16S ribosomal RNA". It matches the Rfam family "Bacterial small subunit ribosomal RNA", at positions 794 to 1027 of the family's 1533-position model. The record is from RNAcentral.